CCUACGGGGGGCUGCAGUGGGGGAUAUUGCACAAUGGGGGAAACCCUGAUGCAGCGACGCCGCGUGGGUGAAGAAGCGCCUCGGCGCGUAAAGCCCCGUCAGCAGGGAAGAAAAUGACGGUACCUGUAGAAGAAUCCACGGCUAAAUACGUGCCAGCAGCCGCGGUAACACGUAGGGGGCAAGCGUUAUCCGGAUUUACUGGGUGUAAAGGGGGCGCAGACGGCGAUGCAAGCCAGGAGGGAAAGCCCGGGGCCCAACCCCGGGACGGCCCUUGAAACUGGGUGGCUUGAGUGCAGGAGAGGCAGGCGGAAUUCGUGGUGUAGCGGUGAAAUGCGUAGAUAUCAGGAGGAACACCGAUGGCGAAGGCGGCCUGCUGGGCUGCGACUGACGUUGAGGCCCGAAGGCGUGGGGAGCAAACAGGAUUAGAUACCCGAGUAGUC
RNAcentral lists this ribosomal RNA (440 nucleotides) under uncultured bacterium. Its description in RNAcentral is "partial 16S ribosomal RNA". It matches the Rfam family "Bacterial small subunit ribosomal RNA", at positions 338 to 795 of the family's 1533-position model. The record is from RNAcentral.